UACGAAGGGGGCGAGCGUUGUUCGGAUUUACUGGGCGUAAAGGGCGCGUAGGCGGCCCUCCUAGUCGCGUGUGAAAGCCCCGGGCUCAACCUGGGAAUUGCGCGCGAAACGGGGGGGGCUUGAGUUCGGGAGAGGAGCGUGGAAUUCCCAGUGUAGAGGUGAAAUUCGUAGAUAUUGGGAAGAACACCGGUGGCGAAGGCGGCGCUCUGGACCGAGACUG
This 220-nucleotide ribosomal RNA is filed under the name uncultured bacterium. Its description in RNAcentral is "partial 16S ribosomal RNA". It matches the Rfam family "Bacterial small subunit ribosomal RNA", at positions 524 to 742 of the family's 1533-position model. The record is from RNAcentral.